Molecule: long non-coding RNA, 419 nt
Filed under: Callithrix jacchus (white-tufted-ear marmoset)
Lineage: Eukaryota; Metazoa; Chordata; Mammalia; Primates; Cebidae
Description: lncRNA (ENSCJAG00000086321.1)
Source: RNAcentral
UAAAGUUUUUCCUUCAACCCUGUAAAUAUGCCGUGCUCUCCUAGCCCAUAAGAUUUUCACUGAGAAGCCUUCUGCCAGACAUAUUAAAGCUGCUUUGUGAGGAAACUGAGCCUCAGAGAGUCCCACACAAACACCCAAGGGGCUACACAGCUGGAUGCUGCAGAGUGAGAAUUGCAUCAGCCUGAGGCCCAAAGUCAAAGCCAAAGAUUAGCACUAGGGAGAAUGUCAGGAAUAGAAAGAGAGUAAUUAGCCAUGACUUCUAGCUGAAAGGAAACUUGGUUUUCUUAUGUAUUUUCUUAACAGGUGAGUUCACCUUUAGUGCUGCUAUUAUUGUCUCUGUCCCUUUGCUUUGUAAUAUCUUCUCUUAGCUCCUCAGCUCAAACUAUAAAAUAAAGCUUUAAACACAAAUGUUAUUUUUA